AGGAGGGGAGAGGGCUGGGAAGCCGAGCUCGAGCCGGGUGUACGUCCGCAAGCUGGGGAGGAGCGCUCCGCCCGCUACUGACAAAGGAUGGGAGGAUGCCUGCGCCGCGGGAUGCUCGUUGCGCUCCGCCGGGCCGCCGCCUGAGCGACUUCGCCCUCCGCCGGUGAGUGAUUGCAAAGAUCAUUCAAUCAGCCUCGCUGCGAGCCCGCACCCUCCUCGGCUCGCCGUCCCGGGCGUCUGUGUCCCUGACUCCGAGCGGGGCUUGGCACAGUACCAUUCUCGGAGCACGGGCAGCAGGUGCCUUUGCCCGGUGGGUCCCCGGAGGAGCCGAGGAUCCCGGCUGGGGUUCUCGGCGGGUGCUGGGACCCAACCCCCCGGCGGCGAGCUCGCCGGCGGGCGCCGCUCGGGUGAGCGGAGGCUGUUCCAGCCGGCUGCUUGGGGGUAGUUACCUCCGCUGGCCCGCCCUCGCCCGCCCCGCGCGCUAGCCUUUUCUGGGGGCUCCCCAGUGCGCGGCGCGCUGUUUACACCAGCUUCUUACUAGUCAGCGAACCGCACCCCUCGGAAAGCGCGGAAUCAAGGACCGCCACUUGACAGGCUCCCGAGUCGCCCGUGUGGGCUUGAGGAGGGCGGGCGCCAAGGACCACCGAGGGCAGCCUUUGUCUUGGGUGUAGCGCUAAUGCGCUCAAAACUGCCUCAGGCUCUCCGCAACUGUCGAGUCGGAUUCGGGUCGCCGGCAUCCGUCCGCCAGGGCGAGGGAUGCCAUUGUGUUCCAGCUGCAGGCGGGACUGAGAGCUGGGACUUAAGACACCAGAAGUGUCCUGCGCCCACGGAAAUGUACUCAAGAAGAGUUCUGAGAGAAUAUACUCAGUUGUCCUUCUGUGAUUAAACGAGACGCUGCUGUAUUUUAACUGAGCUUGGAAAAGCAAGGAUAUGAACAAUUGUGCAGGUGGGCUACUCAGGGCGAGUGAAGAGAUAAGGCAUCCAAUCAGGGACUGGCACCGUGCAACCCUGCCAGUAUGCCCCUCCACCAGAUUUCCGUAAUCCCAGCACGGGAGACUGCCAGCAAUGGGAGAAGUUCAGUGGGCAGAAACAAAGAGAAGAACAAGGAA
Molecule: long non-coding RNA, 1109 nt
Organism: Mustela erminea (ermine)
Lineage: Eukaryota; Metazoa; Chordata; Mammalia; Carnivora; Mustelidae
Exons: 3
Source: RefSeq, a predicted model, not a curated record